Molecule: ribosomal RNA, 377 nt
Filed under: uncultured eukaryote
Lineage: Eukaryota
Description: partial 18S ribosomal RNA
Rfam family: Eukaryotic small subunit ribosomal RNA
Source: RNAcentral
CAAUAGCGUAUAUUUAAGUUGCUGCAGUUAAAAAGCUCGUAGUUGGAUUUCGGGUGGGAAUGGCCGGUCCGCCGUUUCGGUGUGCACUUGCUACGCCCACCUUGCUGCCGGGGACGUGCUCUUGAGUUCACGCUCGGGACACGGAGUCGGCGAGGUUACUUUGAGUAAAUUAGAGUGUUCAAAGCAGGCCUACGCUCUGAAUACAUUAGCAUGGAAUAACACGAUAGGACUCUGGCCUAUCUUGUUGGUCUGUAGGACCGGAGUAAUGAUUAAGAGGGACAGUCGGGGGCAUUCGUAUUUCAUUGUCAGAGGUGAAAUUCUUGGAUUUAUGAAAGACGAACUACUGCGAAAGCAUUUACCAAGGAUGUUUUCAUUGA